RNAcentral lists this long non-coding RNA (247 nucleotides) under Homo sapiens (human). RNAcentral describes it as "non-protein coding lnc-ANXA2R-1:12". Lineage: Eukaryota; Metazoa; Chordata; Mammalia; Primates; Hominidae. The record is from RNAcentral.
AGUGCCCACGGUUUCUCACUGACAGUGCAGCUCGUUUCUCAGAGCCGGCGGAUGUUCAUGGGCAGCACCAUCGAGCCAGAAGCAGUAUUUGUCCUGGGGACUCAAUGUCAAAAAAACUAAUGAGAUGAAAAUGACUGAAUUUAGAAUUGGAUUUUGGAAAGUUUGUCAAACAUCAAAGACUUAAAACACUUGAUAUCACAAAACAGGAUCACAGGUUAUCGGGGGACCUGCGCCGAUAAUCACGUAG